Molecule: long non-coding RNA, 1157 nt
Organism: Nannospalax galili (Upper Galilee mountains blind mole rat)
Lineage: Eukaryota; Metazoa; Chordata; Mammalia; Rodentia; Spalacidae
Exons: 4
Source: RefSeq, a predicted model, not a curated record
CAGGCUCCCAGCUCGAGUCAGGUACCUUCAGGCCAUGGAGAUGACGAGUUAAUUGACUGCUAAUUGGAAGGUGGAAGAAGAAAGAUAAACUACUGGUGCCACGAGCAAUCUGGAAUGCUCAGUGAUCAUGGCAAGAGGAAAUUGAAACUGGUGAGCUUACAGAGUCAAGUUUGUGUACCCAGCUGUCUCUCGAUAUGAAUCCAUCCACAGGAGCCUAUUCAGCCUAUCUAGCAUCACUCCCUUAAAGAAGAUCAACUCUCUCUCACCCAGCAGUGAUCAGCUGCCAAUAGUUCCUCAGCUAAGACUUUGAUGAACGCCUUCACAGCAGCUGCUCUCCCGCACAGUCAUUUGUGGAGAUUGUUUCUUCCCUCACUGGAACCUGGAGUAUUCUCUUUCGGAGACAGGCCUUCCUCUGAAUCACUGCUUUUGGUUGCACUCUUCUUAGAAUAUCUUUCAGGCCCAAAUUAUCUCAUGAUGGAUGUGAUUACCUGUUCCCUUAAGGACUGAAUAUCAUACUAGGCUUUUGAGACAAUCAACACAAUUAGGUGUAGGCUUUAUCUUCAUUUUAUGCUUUAUGUAAUAUGCGUCCAGCUUAUCUCCCCUCUAGCCUGGCAAUAUGAGCAGUCAGUUAGGCUCCAAGUAGGUUCAGUGGCUUCUAUUUCAGGAGCAGAACACAUGUUACAUCCAUUUCUGAGAGAAUGUGAGGCUUUCUGUAUGUUCCCCAACCCCAUAUAUAUUCUUCUGCAGGUAACAGGGGAUUGCUACAGCUUAGUGCUUACUAAGAAAUGAUCACCAUUUGGAAGGUCAGGCAAGGCUUCUCCAUUAACUCUCACACUGAAUGUGCACAAUCCUAGGUAUUAGGCUUAAAAGAAUAUUAUUAUAGUUAUUAUUGGAUGAAGAAACUGAGGCUCCAAGAUGAAAAAGUUUAUUAACCUUAGCAGAUGAGUAAGGGAUGGAUGUGCACUGGGAGACUGGGUCUUUGAUUCCUGGUCUAGGACCUGUUUUUUUUUUGUUUUUUUUUUUUCAUAAUGAACUGAUUUUAAUCAAAUACAAAAACAACGUGUAUAAGUAUUUUUAAAACCCCAAAAUGGUAAUAGCCUCAUUUGAAUGCAAAGGCAAACAACACAAUUAUAAGAAUAAAGUGAAGGCUUUUGAAA